AUUGAACGCUGGCGGCAGGCUUAACACAUGCAAGUCGAGCGGAGAUGAGGUGCUUGCACCUUAUCUUAGCGGCGGACGGGUGAGUAAUGCUUAGGAAUCUGCCUAUUAGUGGGGGACAACAUUCCGAAAGGAAUGCUAAUACCGCAUACGUCCUACGGGAGGAAGCAGGGGAUCUUCGGACCUUGCACUAAUAGAUGAGCCUAAGUCGGAUUAGCUAGUUGGUGGGGUAAAGGCCUACCAAGGCGACGAUCUGUAGCGGGUCUGAGAGGAUGAGCCGCCACACUGGGACUAAGACACGGCCCAGACGCCUACAGGAGGCAGCAGUGGGGAAUAUUGGACAAUGGGGGGAACCCUGAUCCAGCCAUGCCGCGUGUGUGAAGAAGGCCUUAUGGUUGUAAAGCACUUUAAGCGAGGAGGAGGCUACUGAGACUAAUACUCUUGGAUAGUGGACGUUACUCGCAGAAUAAGCACCGGCUAACUCUGUGCCAGCCGCCGCCGUAA
This 501-nucleotide ribosomal RNA is filed under the name uncultured bacterium. RNAcentral describes it as "partial 16S ribosomal RNA". It matches the Rfam family "Bacterial small subunit ribosomal RNA", at positions 30 to 523 of the family's 1533-position model. The record is from RNAcentral.